UAUUAAAAAUUUCAUACAUUUUUACAGUUAAAACUAAUGUAGCUAACGAAAUAAUUAAACAAUGACAAGUGACGUGCCACGUGUACCUCAUACUGAUAUACAAUAACCAAUAUUUAACAGUAAAAAUGGAUAGAAUUAUUAACA
Molecule: non-coding RNA, 144 nt
Organism: Gossypium raimondii (Peruvian cotton)
Lineage: Eukaryota; Viridiplantae; Streptophyta; Magnoliopsida; Malvales; Malvaceae
Source: Rfam